Xenopus laevis (African clawed frog) is the source of this 1356-nucleotide long non-coding RNA. RefSeq lists it as uncharacterized. The transcript has 4 exons. The record is from RefSeq and is a predicted model, not a curated record. Lineage: Eukaryota; Metazoa; Chordata; Amphibia; Anura; Pipidae.
CAUUGACAACAGCUUUGGAGUGUGGAUACUCAUUGGAAAAUAUAUAUAUAUAUAUAUAUAUAUAUAAUUUUUUUAGGCCAUGCAAGGAAUUUAAAUGCCACAUGUGUUACUUACAAUUUAAUAUCAUUGUUAUUAAAAUAAAUAUACUUACCUUAACAAACAUUUUUUGUUAUUGGUAGAACAAACUGGAGUUUAAUCUCCAAAAAAAAAAUAAAAAAAAUAGCAUUAAUCAAACUACAUUUAUAUUCUGUUUCAACUCGAGUUCAUGAAUAGUAGCUACUUACUAGUAAAAACUGAGGCAAUUAGUUGUGCUCUAACUCGCCUUCCAGCCUCUGUAGUAUCAUCCUCUAUGGCUGUUGGUGUGGCAAUUCUGCAACCUCCAUUGGUAUUUGAUGUUUAAAUGCAAUGUAGUGCAGUAUGGAACACACUAUAUAAUCAUCUUGCCAACUUUUUUAGUGUCAUACAGUAACCACCCUCCCGACUUGUCCAGGCACCUGAAUCUGGACUUCAGGACGCCAAAUGUCCAUUCAAUAACACAGCGGGUUUUUCUGUGUGCAAAGUUGUACUGCAUCUCUGCCUGGUUUGCUGGAUUUAACCGGGGGGUCAGUAUCCAUGGCUGACACCCAUAUCCCGCAUCCCCUGAAAAACACACCAGGAAGAGGCAGAGCAGCAGGAGGCUACGUAGGAGGAGGGCCAACUACCCCCAAAAUGUGCCUCAACAGGGACAGCUGGUGGAUGCAGAGCUGUCGGAGGGAGAGGGAGAGGGACAGUCACCGGCCGUGGAGGGAGAGGAGAUUAUUGUGGGAGAAGAUGUAUGUGAGGAUGAGGUGUCACCCCAAAUGAGCCCCCCAAUUGAAGAGCCACAAGGAGGUCCAUCCACGCGAGACGAGAGAGUAGAGGGGAGCAGGCCGGGACCAAGCCAGGAGUCCAUCCUUCCAGAAGUGUUGCAGCUGCUGGACACCCUGGAGAAACGGAUGGACCUCCUGGAACAGGCAGUUCGAGCAGAUUUUUUUUUUAAAAAAAAAAGUAAAAAUUUUAAGUCAGUUUUUGGAAAUUAAAAGUGUUUUUCUUAUUGAAAAUGGUCUGUUCUUGAUUGGGAAAAUUUAUGUUGAUGCUAAAUAUAUGUUGUCACUUGUCAAGAAUGUACAUCAUAGGAUAUUGUUGGAAUGCGUAGGCCUUAAACAUUGAUAAACAUAAACAGCAAUACUUUACAUUAAAGUGGUUGUUCCCCUUUAAAUGAACUGUAGUAUGAUGUAGAGAGUGAUAUCCUGAGACAAUUUGCAGUUGUUUCUCAUUUUGUAGGAUUUGUGGUGUUUCAUGUAUUUACCUUUUUAUUCAGCAGCUCUUCACUUUGCA